CGGACGGGUGAGUAACGCGUGAGAAUCUGUCUUUUGGAUUGGGACAACAUUGGGAAACCGAUGCUAAUACCCGAUGUGCCGAGAGGUGAAAGAGUAAUUGCCUGAUGAAGAGCUCGCGUCCGAUUAGCUAGUUGGUGGGGUAAGAGCCUACCAAGGCGACGAUCUGUAGCUGGUCUGAGAGGACGAUCAGCCACACUGGAACUGAGACACGGUCCAGACUCCUACGGGAGGCAGCAGUGGGGAAUUUUCCGCAAUGGGCGAAAGCCUGACGGAGCAAGACCGCGUGAGGGAGGAAGGCUCUCUGGGUUGUAAACCUCUUUUCUCUGGGAAGAAGAUCUGACGGUACCUGAGGAAUCAGCCUCGGCUAACUCCGUGCCAGCAGCCGCGGUAAUACGGAGGAGGCAAGCGUUAUCCGGAAUUAUUGGGCGUAAAGCGUCCGCAGGUGGCUAGUCAAGUCUGUGGUCAAAGCACACGGCUCAACUGUGUAUAGGCCGUGGAAACUGACAGGCUAGAGUGCGGUAGAGGCAGAGGGAAUUCCCGGUGUAGCGGUGAAAUGCGUAGAUAUCGGGAAGAACACCAGUGGCGAAGCGCUCUGCUGGACCGCAACUGACACUCAGGGACGAAAGCUAGGGGAGCGAAUGGGAUUAGAUACCCCUGUAGUC
This 662-nucleotide ribosomal RNA is filed under the name uncultured cyanobacterium. RNAcentral's name for it is "bacterial SSU rRNA". It matches the Rfam family "Bacterial small subunit ribosomal RNA", at positions 99 to 795 of the family's 1533-position model. The record is from RNAcentral. Lineage: Bacteria; Bacillati; Cyanobacteriota.